UUUGGUGGUUAUAACCUGGGUGUUACACCUCUUCCCAUUCCGAACAGAGAAGUUAAGCCCCAGAAUGCCGAUGGUACUGCAUGCGCAGGUGUGUGGGAGAGUAGGUAGCUGCCAGAU
Non-coding RNA from Ignavibacteria bacterium GWC2_36_12, 117 nucleotides. NCBI's taxonomy places the organism in Bacteria, Pseudomonadati, Ignavibacteriota, Ignavibacteria. The record is from Rfam.